CAAUGGUGUCAGUGACAGUGAUGGUGAUGGUCUUGCUCGCGCUAUUGCCGCUUUUGUCAGUGGCCGUGCAGGUGGCUACGGUGGUGCCGACGGGGUAGACGCCAGAGGUGGAGGGGGCCGCGGGGGAGUAGGUGGUGACAACGUUGAGGUUCGUGUCCACGUUGUCAGUGGCGGUGCAUGUGAAGGAGAUGCCGUCGGCGCCGCCAAGCGUGUUGCCCUCCUUGGUGAUGGCGUUGGUGCUGGAACUGACCGUUGGGGCUGUGUUAUCUGUGGGACAUGCAGGGUGGGGGGGAUUACACGAAUGCGUUUGCAUGUGCGUAAUUGGUGAUUACUAUGUAGCAGAAGCAAGCAAGUGUUCUUCCAAGGUCGGAGCCGCAACAUGCGAAGCCAGUAGGAUCCAUGCCCCGCCGUGCCCCGCCCUGCCUCACUCCGUUCCCCGCGCCCCGCCCCACUGCCACCCAACCCGACCCGACCCGAUCCAACCCAACCCAAGCAACCCGCCAAGACCCGACCCGACCUACAGCAACCCUUGCCCACCCUACCCUCCCCUCCCCGACCCACGUCUCACCGAGAACGACCACAGCGAAUGUCGCGGUGCCGGUAUUGGUUCCGUCAGACGCGGUGCAGGUGACAGUGGUGCUGCCAAAUGGGAAAGAGUCACCAGAGGCAUAGUCACACGAGGGCGUCACGGCACCAACCACGAUGUCAGUGGCGGUGACGGCCGACCAGGUGACAGCAGCAGUGCCGCUGGCCGAAGCGUACACGGACGCCGGCGAGGGGACCGUAAUGGCCGGCGCAAUGGUGUCAGUGACAGUAAUGGUGAUGGUCUUGCUCGCGCUAUUGCCGCUUUUGUCAGUGGCCGUGCAGGUGGCUACGGUGGUGCCGACGGGGUAGACGCCAGAGGUGGAGGGGGCCGCGGGGGAGUAGGUGGUGACAACGUUGAGGUUCGUGUCCACGUUGUCAGUGGCGGUGCAUGUGAAGGAGAUGCCGUCGGCGCCGCCAAGCGUGUUGCCCUCCUUGGUGAUGGCGUUGGUGCUGGUGCUGACGUCUGGAGCUGUGUUAUCUGUGGGCGGACAUGCAGGGUGGGGGGGAUUACACGAAUGCGUUUGCAUGUGCGUAAUUGAUGAUUACUAUGUAGCAGAAGCAAGCAAGUGUUCUUCCAAGGUCGGAGCCGCAACAUGCGAAGCCAGUAGGAUCCAUGCCCCGCCGUGCCCCGCCCUGCCUCACUCCGUUCCCCGCGCCCCGCCCCACUGCCACCCAACCCGACCCGACCCGAUCCAACCCGACUCAACCCCACCCAACCCAACCCAAGCAACCCGCCAAGACCCGACCCGACCUACAGCAACCCUUGCCCACCCUACCCUCCCCUCCCCGACCCACGUCUCACCGAGAACGACCACAGCGAAUGUCGCGGUGCCGGUAUUGGUUCCGUCAGACGCGGUGCAGGUGACAGUGGUGCUGCCAAAUGGGAAAGAGUCACCAGAGGCAUAGUCACACGAGGGCGUCACGGCACCAACCACGAUGUCAGUGGCGGUGACGGCCGACCAGGUGACAGCAGCAGUGCCGCUGGCCGAAGCGUACACGGACGCCGGCGAGGGGACCGUAAUGGCCGGCGCAAUGGUGUCAGUGACAGUAAUGGUGAUGGUCUUGCUCGCGCUAUUGCCGCUUUUGUCAGUGGCCGUGCAGGUGGCUACGGUGGUGCCGACGGGGUAGACGCCAGAGGUGGAGGGGGCCGCGGGGGAGUAGGUGGUGACAACGUUGAGGUUCGUGUCCACGUUGUCAGUGGCGGUGCAUGUGAAGGAGAUGCCGUCGGCG
Molecule: long non-coding RNA, 1815 nt
Filed under: Chlamydomonas reinhardtii
Lineage: Eukaryota; Viridiplantae; Chlorophyta; Chlorophyceae; Chlamydomonadales; Chlamydomonadaceae
Description: long non-coding RNA (CREI_LNC000386)
Source: RNAcentral